RNAcentral lists this ribosomal RNA (253 nucleotides) under uncultured bacterium. Its description in RNAcentral is "partial 16S ribosomal RNA". It matches the Rfam family "Bacterial small subunit ribosomal RNA", at positions 524 to 776 of the family's 1533-position model. The record is from RNAcentral.
UACGAAGGUGGCUAGCGUUGUUCGGAAUCACUGGGCUUAAAGCGCGUGUAGGCGGCCUUGUAAGCGUCUUGUGAAAUCCCCCGGCUCAACCGGGGAACUGCUGGACGGACUGCAGGGCUUGAGGCAAGUAAGGGUGCAUGGAACUCUUGGUGGAGCGGUGAAAUGCGUAGAUAUCAAGAGGAACGCCGGUGGCGAAAGCGGUGCACUGGGCUUGUCCUGACGCUGAGAUGCGAAGGCCAGGGGAGCAAACGGG